GGCGGCGUGCUUACACAUGCAAGUCGAACGAUGAAGCCCUUCGGGGUGGAUUAGUGGCGAACGGGUGAGUAACACGUGGGCAAUCUGCCCUUCACUCUGGGACAAGCCCUGGAAACGGGGUCUAAUACCGGAUAACACUCCCACUCGCAUGGGUGGGGGUUAAAAGCUCCGGCGGUGAAGGAUGAGCCCGCGGCCUAUCAGCUUGUUGGUGAGGUAAUGGCUCACCAAGGCGACGACGGGUAGCCGGCCUGAGAGGGCGACCGGCCACACUGGGACUGAGACACGGCCCAGACUCCUACGGGAGGCAGCAGUGGGGAAUAUUGCACAAUGGGCGAAAGCCUGAUGCAGCGACGCCGCGUGAGGGAUGACGGCCUUCGGGUUGUAAACCUCUUUCAGCAGGGAAGAAGCGAAAGUGACGGUACCUGCAGAAGAAGCGCCGGCUAACUACGUGCCAGCAGCCGCGGUAAUACGUAGGGCGCAAGCGUUGUCCGGAAUUAUUGGGCGUAAAGAGCUCGUAGGCGGCUUGUCACGUCGGGUGUGAAAGCCCGGGGCUUAACCCCGGGUCUGCAUUCGAUACGGGCUAGCUAGAGUGUGGUAGGGGAGAUCGGAAUUCCUGGUGUAGCGGUGAAAUGCGCAGAUAUCAGGAGGAACACCGGUGGCGAAGGCGGAUCUCUGGGCCAUUACUGACGCUGAGGAGCGAAAGCGUGGGGAGCGAACAGGAUUAGAUACCCUGGUAGUCCACGCCGUAAACGGUGGGAACUAGGUGUUGGCGACAUUCCACGUCGUCGGU
Molecule: ribosomal RNA, 790 nt
Filed under: Streptomyces sp. I07A-00514
Lineage: Bacteria; Bacillati; Actinomycetota; Actinomycetes; Kitasatosporales; Streptomycetaceae
Description: bacterial SSU rRNA
Rfam family: Bacterial small subunit ribosomal RNA
Source: RNAcentral